UUUCCGUAGGUGAACCUGCGGAAGGAUCAUUCAUAAUAAGUGUUUUAUGGCACUUUUUAAAUCCAUAUCCACCUUGUGUGCAAUGUCAGUCGAUCUUCUUCAUGGAGAUCGACCAAACAUCAACCUUUAUUUUUUAACUCUUUGUCUGAAAAAUAUUAUGAAUAAACAAUUCAAAAUACAACUUUCAACAACGGAUCUCUUGGCUCUCGCAUCGAUGAAGAACGCAGCGAAAUGCGAUACGUAAUGUGAAUUGCAGAAUUCAGUGAAUCAUCGAAUCUUUGAACGCAUAUUGCGCUCUUUGGUAUUCCGAAGAGCAUGCUUGUUUGAGUAUCAGUAAACACCUCAAAGCUUUUGGAUUUUUUAAUCGAAAAGCUUUGGACUUGAGCAAUCCCAACACCAAUCUUUUUGAGAUCGGUGGCGGGUUGCUUGAAAUGCAGGUGCAGCUGGACAUUCUCCUGAGCUAAAAGCAUAUUCAUUUAGUCCCGUCAAACGGAUUAUUACUUUUGCUGCAGCUAACAUAAAGGGAGUUUGACCGUAUUGGCUGACUGAUGCAGGAUUUCACAAGGGUCGGCAACGAUUCUUGUUAACUCGAUCUCAAAUCAAGUAAGACUACCCGCUGAACUUAA
RNAcentral lists this ribosomal RNA (626 nucleotides) under uncultured Mortierella. Its description in RNAcentral is "eukaryotic LSU rRNA". The stretch from base 180 to 333 matches the Rfam family "5.8S ribosomal RNA". Lineage: Eukaryota; Fungi; Mortierellomycota; Mortierellomycetes; Mortierellales; Mortierellaceae. The record is from RNAcentral.